This 460-nucleotide ribosomal RNA is filed under the name uncultured bacterium. RNAcentral describes it as "partial 16S ribosomal RNA". It matches the Rfam family "Bacterial small subunit ribosomal RNA", at positions 338 to 795 of the family's 1533-position model. The record is from RNAcentral.
CCUACGGGAGGCAGCAGUGAGGAAUAUUGGUCAAUGGACGAGAGUCUGAACCAGCCAAGUAGCGUGAAGGAUGACUGCCCUAUGGGUUGUAAACUUCUUUUAUAUGGGAAUAAAAUGUUCCACGUGUGGGAUUUUGUAUGUACCAUAUGAAUAAGGAUCGGCUAACUCCGUGCCAGCAGCCGCGGUAAUACGGAGGAUCCGAGCGUUAUCCGGGUUUAUUGGGUUUAAAGGGAGCGUAGGUGGAUUGUUAAGUCAGUUGUGAAAGUUUGCGGCUCAACCGUAAAAUUGCAGUUGAAACUGGCAGUCUUGAGUACAGUAGAGGUGGGCGGAAUUCGUGGUGUAGCGGUGAAAUGCUUAGAUAUCACGAAGAACUCCGAUUGCGAAGGCAGUUCACUGGACUGCAACUGACACUGAGGCUCGAAAGUGUGGGUAUCAAACAGGAUUAGAUACCCGUGUAGUC